ACAAAAUCCUAUUUUUUCGCACUUUUGGAUAGUUGAUCGCUAAAAUCUCAUCGAAAUCCCAUUGAUAGCUACUGCAUAAUCAUCGUAAACAGCCCUUUUCUUGUGCGUAGAGUACAAUCAGACCCUAUCCCCCGCCAGUUUCUUUUCACCCCAUUCCUUUUCUUCAGGGUUCCGGAAUGUAGCACCUGCAAACUUCUUGGCGUAGCCAUUAACCUUACAUCGACUCACUACUUCAGCAUGUCUUGGGUAAUGGGCAUCAUCACGAGUAAUAAUUCACUGACCUGUUCUUUAAACGAGAGUUUCUCCGAGUGGUCGGACAUGUUCCCACCUCCAGGAGCGGUUGCAGCUUUUAAAGUUCACUUCCUGCGAAGAGUCUGCAGCUUCUCUAGGUGCUGCUGGUAGUCCAGUACCUGCAGCCACUAUGGAUGGAGGGGGCACAGCAUUCGGAUUGUUAGGGUCGACAAUUUGGGCCACCGCCGGCUGGUCAACGGAUAGGGAUCUUGAUCUAUUAAAUACAGUGGAGAUUCACUCAAUUCUACGUAUCAGUAGUUUGGUGGGCUGUAUAUAGUCGAUCGCGUUUGGUACAAAUACACCCAAUCUACGCACUACGUACGUCUUCAGAGUCAAUCCGUCGGCAUCAUUGUUGGUGGGGGUGUAGGGAGCAUGACGUCAUAUUAGAGACCACUUUUGUAUGAUGGUGUACACAUAACUUUGUAUUUAAGGAAUACGUUUUAAC
Molecule: small RNA, 736 nt
Filed under: Cryptococcus neoformans H99
Lineage: Eukaryota; Fungi; Basidiomycota; Tremellomycetes; Tremellales; Cryptococcaceae
Description: Cryptococcus neoformans var. grubii H99 hypothetical RNA
Source: RNAcentral